AGCCUGUGGGAUAGCUCAAUCAGUAGAAUAUGAGACUCUUAAUCUCUGGGCCAGGGGUUCAAGCCCCACAUUGGCCA
This is a non-coding RNA of Podarcis lilfordi (Lilford's wall lizard), 77 nucleotides long. NCBI's taxonomy places the organism in Eukaryota, Metazoa, Chordata, Lepidosauria, Squamata, Lacertidae. The record is from the annotation of a GenBank genome assembly.